Molecule: long non-coding RNA, 170 nt
Organism: Nematolebias whitei (Rio pearlfish)
Lineage: Eukaryota; Metazoa; Chordata; Actinopteri; Cyprinodontiformes; Rivulidae
Exons: 3
Source: RefSeq, a predicted model, not a curated record
UUCUUUCAUCGGAGCUGCUUUACCUGUCAUCAGUGCGGCAUCACGCUCCGACUCGGAGGCUACACCUUUGACAAGAAUACAGGAAGGUUUUACUGUGAGCUGCACUCUGAAGAACUGUUGCUUCCAAUUGAGCUGGAACCAUUUUGUGAGGAUAGCAAAGAAAAUCACAC